This 1528-nucleotide ribosomal RNA is filed under the name Klebsiella pneumoniae. RNAcentral's name for it is "bacterial SSU rRNA". It matches the Rfam family "Bacterial small subunit ribosomal RNA". Lineage: Bacteria; Pseudomonadati; Pseudomonadota; Gammaproteobacteria; Enterobacterales; Enterobacteriaceae. The record is from RNAcentral. RNAcentral also lists the same sequence under 6 other names.
AGAGUUUGAUCAUGGCUCAGAUUGAACGCUGGCGGCAGGCCUAACACAUGCAAGUCGAGCGGUAGCACAGAGAGCUUGCUCUCGGGUGACGAGCGGCGGACGGGUGAGUAAUGUCUGGGAAACUGCCUGAUGGAGGGGGAUAACUACUGGAAACGGUAGCUAAUACCGCAUAAUGUCGCAAGACCAAAGUGGGGGACCUUCGGGCCUCAUGCCAUCAGAUGUGCCCAGAUGGGAUUAGCUAGUAGGUGGGGUAACGGCUCACCUAGGCGACGAUCCCUAGCUGGUCUGAGAGGAUGACCAGCCACACUGGAACUGAGACACGGUCCAGACUCCUACGGGAGGCAGCAGUGGGGAAUAUUGCACAAUGGGCGCAAGCCUGAUGCAGCCAUGCCGCGUGUGUGAAGAAGGCCUUCGGGUUGUAAAGCACUUUCAGCGGGGAGGAAGGCGAUAAGGUUAAUAACCUUGUCGAUUGACGUUACCCGCAGAAGAAGCACCGGCUAACUCCGUGCCAGCAGCCGCGGUAAUACGGAGGGUGCAAGCGUUAAUCGGAAUUACUGGGCGUAAAGCGCACGCAGGCGGUCUGUCAAGUCGGAUGUGAAAUCCCCGGGCUCAACCUGGGAACUGCAUUCGAAACUGGCAGGCUAGAGUCUUGUAGAGGGGGGUAGAAUUCCAGGUGUAGCGGUGAAAUGCGUAGAGAUCUGGAGGAAUACCGGUGGCGAAGGCGGCCCCCUGGACAAAGACUGACGCUCAGGUGCGAAAGCGUGGGGAGCAAACAGGAUUAGAUACCCUGGUAGUCCACGCCGUAAACGAUGUCGAUUUGGAGGUUGUGCCCUUGAGGCGUGGCUUCCGGAGCUAACGCGUUAAAUCGACCGCCUGGGGAGUACGGCCGCAAGGUUAAAACUCAAAUGAAUUGACGGGGGCCCGCACAAGCGGUGGAGCAUGUGGUUUAAUUCGAUGCAACGCGAAGAACCUUACCUGGUCUUGACAUCCACAGAACUUUCCAGAGAUGGAUUGGUGCCUUCGGGAACUGUGAGACAGGUGCUGCAUGGCUGUCGUCAGCUCGUGUUGUGAAAUGUUGGGUUAAGUCCCGCAACGAGCGCAACCCUUAUCCUUUGUUGCCAGCGGUUAGGCCGGGAACUCAAAGGAGACUGCCAGUGAUAAACUGGAGGAAGGUGGGGAUGACGUCAAGUCAUCAUGGCCCUUACGACCAGGGCUACACACGUGCUACAAUGGCAUAUACAAAGAGAAGCGACCUCGCGAGAGCAAGCGGACCUCAUAAAGUAUGUCGUAGUCCGGAUUGGAGUCUGCAACUCGACUCCAUGAAGUCGGAAUCGCUAGUAAUCGUAGAUCAGAAUGCUACGGUGAAUACGUUCCCGGGCCUUGUACACACCGCCCGUCACACCAUGGGAGUGGGUUGCAAAAGAAGUAGGUAGCUUAACCUUCGGGAGGGCGCUUACCACUUUGUGAUUCAUGACUGGGGUGAAGUCGUAACAAGGUAACCGUAGGGGAACCUGCGGUUGGAUCACCU